Molecule: ribosomal RNA, 489 nt
Filed under: uncultured bacterium
Lineage: Bacteria
Description: bacterial SSU rRNA
Rfam family: Bacterial small subunit ribosomal RNA
Source: RNAcentral
GGCUCAGAUUGAACGCUGGCGGCAUGCCUUACACAUGCAAGUCGAACGGCAGCGGACCUUCGGGUGCCGGCGAGUGGCGAACGGGUGAGUAAUAUAUCGGAACGUACCUUUCAGUGGGGGAUAACGUAGCGAAAGUUACGCUAAUACCGCAUAUUCUGUGAGCAGGAAAGCAGGGGAUCGCAAGACCUUGCGCUGAUUGAGCGGCCGAUAUCAGAUUAGCUAGUUGGUGAGGUAAAGGCUCACCAAGGCGACGAUCUGUAGCGGGUCUGAGAGGAUGAUCCGCCACACUGGAACUGAGACACGGUCCAGACUCCUACGGGAGGCAGCAGUGGGGAAUUUUGGACAAUGGGCGCAAGCCUGAUCCAGCCAUGCCGCGUGAGUGAAGAAGGCCUUCGGGUUGUAAAGCUCUUUCGGCCGGGAAGAAAUCGCGCGGGUUAAUACCCUGUGUGGAUGACGGUACCGGAAUAAGAAGCACCGGCUAACUACGUG